RNAcentral lists this long non-coding RNA (621 nucleotides) under Anas platyrhynchos platyrhynchos (common mallard). Its description in RNAcentral is "lncRNA (ENSAPLG00000017499.1)". The record is from RNAcentral. Lineage: Eukaryota; Metazoa; Chordata; Aves; Anseriformes; Anatidae.
CUGGCUCUUUGAAGAUACCUCCUCUCCCAGCUUGCUCUUCUCCUCAGUUCCCCUGUGGUGGUUCAGAGCCUGCCCUCGUUCACACCUCCCCUUCACUUUGCAAACAGCAAAGCUGAGACAAUGACGACAGCCACUAAGAGAGGAAGGGCCAAGUACAAUGUUAAUAUUGCCAACCUGCUGCAUGAGGAAUGAACCAUGCUUGUAUAAAUUAAUUGGGGUCUUAAGCAAAAUCGAGGCAUGAACAUACUGGUCUUACUUGCAAAAGAGAGAAGGCAGAGAAAGGGAUCCCAGAGGUACUGCAAGCCUGUUUUGCUGCUGAGCGUUCUGUACCAUGAAACCACAGCCCCAUGGAGCACAAGAACAACAGGAGGUGUGCAUUACACUGCCUUUUCAUCUGCUGGGCAUCAUGUGGAAAUGAGAAAAGUUGGCACAGAAAACUACAGAACCACCACAGUAAACAAGAGUGACAAAGCACGGAGCUCCUGCUCCCACCGGGGUCAGCAACCACCAGGGUCCUCUUGGCUGGUGUCGACUGAACCAAAAGGAAGAAUCAGCAGGAUGAUAGUUUUGACAAAGUGGAGGGCAGAGCUCUGGGAGGCGGUGUUCUGGCCUUACUUGUAA